UCACCCUCAAAACCCAGACCCAGUGCCAGGAACUGAAAUGUAAGGGCAGAUAGUAGGGGACAGACAUGGACAGAGAGAGAGAUGCAAAGAAAGAAUGAGAAAGUCAAAGCUGAUAGUUCUCAGCAGGAACACGCUGUACAAUGUUAGAGCAAAGGCUGCACCAAGAGAAGCGCAAACAUUAGAACCCAACUGGUGAGAAGUGAGAACAAGGAGAAUAAACAUGUGACAGGCAUAAACCAGAAGAGCAGUCAGAAGACUUGUGAUGGAAGGAAACCGCCUGUGGCUCAGCAGCAGUAAACUUGGGUGACACCAGUCUUUAUGCAGACCUAUGGGAUCCUGAAUGCAGCUGGCUCUUGUUGUUCACUUUCCUCUGCAAGGACUCAAACAGGGAGACCCCACGCUGAGGCCAGCCUCAUUAGAUGUCUCCAGUCCAUCACAAAGCCAGAUAUGAUGUUGCCACAUAUGGACCUGGUCCUGUGUAAUGGCAGGAAAGAUACUUGGGAGGUAUAAAAUCCAGUUAGAAACUCAGAUAUAUUAAUCCUUGCCACAUAGCUAUGAAGACCUUGCCAACUUAGAGAAUCUGUGUAUUUUUAAAUAAAGCAUACAAUCUGCCUUUUA
Molecule: long non-coding RNA, 618 nt
Organism: Pezoporus flaviventris
Lineage: Eukaryota; Metazoa; Chordata; Aves; Psittaciformes; Psittacidae
Exons: 3
Source: RefSeq, a predicted model, not a curated record